AGGUUGUCUUGGAUUCAGAUGAUCAGUUAUUUGGAGGCUUUAACAGGCUUGACCAUAAUGCCGAGUACUUCAGCUCAGAAGGGUGGUAUGAUGACCGGCCUCGUUCCUUCUUGGUAUAUGCACCGAGUAGAACAGUUGUUGUAUAUGCACUAGUAGAUAAUGAAUUGGAACCUGCUCAAGUAGAGAAUGAAUUGGAAUCUGCCAGUUGAUAUCUAACACGUGAUGAUGUAAGAGAAUCAAAAAAUGUAGUGAAAGAGUCUACGCCAAAUUACAGUGGCAGUCUGGCAACGUAAAAGUAAAAGAUGAGCCCAAGGUAAAGCAAAGCAUACAUCCAAGUUGGGAGUUGUGUAAAUGUUUCUUGCUAGCUAAAUUAUGUAUGUGCUAAGUGUUUCUUGGACAUACAGCAGAGAUUGUACUGUAUUUAUAAUUUCUAUAUCUAAAUCUGUGUCUUCAUCUACUAGAAUAAAAGGCGAAUUUUUAACUAAGAAA
Long non-coding RNA from Pistacia vera, 489 nucleotides. RefSeq lists it as uncharacterized. The record is from RefSeq and is a predicted model, not a curated record. The transcript has 2 exons. Lineage: Eukaryota; Viridiplantae; Streptophyta; Magnoliopsida; Sapindales; Anacardiaceae.